Molecule: long non-coding RNA, 399 nt
Filed under: Homo sapiens (human)
Lineage: Eukaryota; Metazoa; Chordata; Mammalia; Primates; Hominidae
Description: HSALNT0317684
Source: RNAcentral
UUGAGAGAGGUCAGCGUGAGCCCCUUGCCUCACACCGGCCCCUCCCACGCUGAGAGAGGUCAGCCCGAGCCCCUUGCCUCACACCGGCCCCUCCCACGCUGAGAGAGGUCAGCGUGAGCCCCUUGUCUCACACCGGCCCCUCCCACGCUGAGAGAGGUCAGCCCGAGCCCCUUGCCUCACACCGGCCCCUCCCACGCUGAGAGAGGUGUGAGCCCCUUGUCUCACACCGGCCCCUCCCACGCGGACAGAGGUCAGCGUGAGCCCCUUGCCUCACCCCGGCCCCUCCCACGCUGAGAGAGGUCAGUGUGAGCCCUUGCCUCACACCGGCCCCUCCCACGCGGACAGAGGUCAGCGUGAGCCCCUUGCCUCACACCGGCCCCUCCCACGCUGAGAGAGGUC